RNAcentral lists this ribosomal RNA (490 nucleotides) under Filifactor alocis. Its description in RNAcentral is "bacterial SSU rRNA". It matches the Rfam family "Bacterial small subunit ribosomal RNA", at positions 9 to 497 of the family's 1533-position model. The record is from RNAcentral. Lineage: Bacteria; Bacillati; Bacillota; Clostridia; Peptostreptococcales; Filifactoraceae.
GAGUUUGAUUAUGGCUCAGGAUGAACGCUGGCGGCGUGCUUAACACAUGCAAGUCGAACGAACGACUAUUAACAGAACCUUUCGGGGCGAAGAAUAUAGAAGUUAGUGGCGGACGGGUGCGUAACGCGUGGGUAAUCUGCCUUUGUCAAAGGAAUAACUAUUCGAAAGAAUAGCUAAAACCGUAUAACAUAUUAAUAGGGCAUCCUAAUAAUAUCAAAACGAUAGUGGACAAAGAUGAGCCCGCGUCUGAUUAGCUAGUUGGUGAGAUAAAAGCCCACCAAGGCAACGAUCAGUAGCCGACCUGAGAGGGUGAACGGCCACAUUGGAACUGAGACACGGUCCAAACUCCUACGGGAGGCAGCAGUGGGGAAUAUUGCACAAUGGGGGGAACCCUGAUGCAGCAACGCCGCGUGAGUGAAGAAGGCAUUCGUGUCGUAAAACUCUGUAGUAGGGGAAGAAAGAAAUGACAUACCCUAAAAGAAGCCCCGCA